AGAAACAACUAUUAAUGAAGUUAUGGCUGCUAACUGUGAUUUGAGUAGGUGAUACUAUUC
Molecule: transfer RNA, 60 nt
Filed under: Emplectonema gracile
Lineage: Eukaryota; Metazoa; Nemertea; Enopla; Monostilifera; Emplectonematidae
Description: tRNA-Ser
Source: RNAcentral